CUAACCGCGCAAAGGUAGCAUAAUCACUUGUUCUUUAAAUGAGGACUAGAAUCAACGGCACCACGAAGGUUAUACUGUCUCCUUUCUCUAAUCAGUGAAACUAAUCUCCCCGUGCCCCAUGGAGCUUUAAACCUAGCUACACCUCGAACCCCCACACCCAACUACUAUCCGAGCCCUGAAAACUAGGCUUUAGGUUGGGGUGACCGCGGAGUAAAACAAAACCUCCGCAAUGAACGAAACUACCAUCUUAUCUAAGAGGCACCCCUCUAAGAAUUAGUACUCUAACAUAAAUGAUCCAAUCAUUGAUCAACGAACCAAGUUACCCUGGGGAUAACAGCGCAAUCCACUUCAAGAGCCCAUAUCGACAAGUGGGUUUACGACCUCGAUGUUGGAUCAGGGUACCCCAGUGGUGUAGCAGCUACUAAUGGUUCGUUUGUUCAACGAUUAAAACCCUACGUGAUCU
Molecule: ribosomal RNA, 463 nt
Filed under: Gephyromantis luteus
Lineage: Eukaryota; Metazoa; Chordata; Amphibia; Anura; Mantellidae
Description: partial large subunit ribosomal RNA
Rfam family: Bacterial large subunit ribosomal RNA
Source: RNAcentral